AGUGAACGCUGGCGGUAGGCCUAACACAUGCAAGUCGAACGGCAGCACAGGAGAGCUUGCUCUCUGGGUGGCGAGUGGCGGACGGGUGAGGAAUACAUCGGAAUCUGCCCAGUCGUGGGGGAUAACGUAGGGAAACUUACGCUAAUACCGCAUACGACCUUCGGGUGAAAGAGGGGAUCGCAAGACCUCUCGCGAUUGGAUGAGCCGAUGUCGGAUUAGCUAGUUGGCGGGGUAAUGGCCCACCAAGGCGACGAUCCGUAGCUGGUCUGAGAGGAUGAUCAGCCACACUGGAACUGAGACACGGUCCAGACUCCUACGGGAGGCAGCAGUGGGGAAUAUUGGACAAUGGGCGCAAGCCUGAUCCAGCCAUACCGCGUGGGUGAAGAAGGCCUUCGGGUUGUAAAGCCCUUUUGUUGGGAAAGAAAUCUUUCAGGCUAAUACCCUGGGAGGAUGACGGUACCCAAAGAAUAAGCACCGGCUAACUUCGUG
Molecule: ribosomal RNA, 489 nt
Filed under: uncultured bacterium
Lineage: Bacteria
Description: partial 16S ribosomal RNA
Rfam family: Bacterial small subunit ribosomal RNA
Source: RNAcentral